GACGAACGCUGGCGGCGUGCUUAACACAUGCAAGUCGAACGGAAAGGCCCUGCUUUUGUGGGGUGCUCGAGUGGCGAACGGGUGAGUAACACGUGAGUAACCUGCCCUUGACUUUGGGAUAACUUCAGGAAACUGGGGCUAAUACCGGAUAGGAGCUCCUGCUGCAUGGUGGGGGUUGGAAAGUUUCGGCGGUUGGGGAUGGACUCGCGGCUUAUCAGCUUGUUGGUGGGGUAGUGGCUUACCAAGGCUUUGACGGGUAGCCGGCCUGAGAGGGUGACCGGCCACAUUGGGACUGAGAUACGGCCCAGACUCCUACGGGAGGCAGCAGUGGGGAAUAUUGCACAAUGGGCGGAAGCCUGAUGCAGCAACGCCGCGUGCGGGAUGACGGCCUUCGGGUUGUAAACCGCUUUCGCCUGUGACGAAGCGUGAGUGACGGUAAUGGGUAAAGAAGCACCGGCUAACUACGUGCCAGCAGCCGCGGUGAUACGUAGGGUGCGAGCGUUGUCCGGAUUUAUUGGGCGUAAAGGGCUCGUAGGUGGUUGAUCGCGUCGGAAGUGUAAUCUUGGGGCUUAACCCUGAGCGUGCUUUCGAUACGGGUUGACUUGAGGAAGGUAGGGGAGAAUGGAAUUCCUGGUGGAGCGGUGGAAUGCGCAGAUAUCAGGAGGAACACCAGUGGCGAAGGCGGUUCUCUGGCCUUUCCUGACGCUGAGGAGCGAAAGCGUGGGGAGCGAACAGGCUUAGAUACCCUGGUAGUCCACGCUGUAAACGGUGGGUACUAGGUGUGGGGUCCAUUCCACGGGUUCCGUGCCGUAGCUAACGCUUUAAGUACCCCGCCUGGGGAGUACGGCCGCAAGGCUAAAACUCAAAGGAAUUGACGGGGCCCCGCACAAGCGGCGGAGCAUGCGGAUUAAUUCGAUGCAACGCGUAGAACCUUACCUGGGUUUGACAUGGAUCGGGAGUGCUCAGAGAUGGGUGUGCCUCUUUUGGGGUCGGUUCACAGGUGGUGCAUGGCUGUCGUCAGCUCGUGUCGUGAGAUGUUGGGUUAAGUCCCGCAACGAGCGCAACCCUUGUUCACUGUUGCCAGCACGUUAUGGUGGGGACUCAGUGGAGACCGCCGGGGCCAACUCGGAGGAAGGUGGGGAUGACGUCAAGUCAUCAUGCCCCUUAUGUCCAGGGCUUCACGCAUGCUACAAUGGCUGGUACAGAGAGUGGCGAGCCUGUGAGGGUGAGCGAAUCUCGGAAAGCCGGUCUCAGUUCGGAUUGGGGUCUGCAACUCGACCUCAUGAAGUCGGAGUCGCUAGUAAUCGCAGAUCGGCAACGCUGCGGUGAAUACGUUCCCGGG
This 1342-nucleotide ribosomal RNA is filed under the name uncultured bacterium. RNAcentral describes it as "16S ribosomal RNA". It matches the Rfam family "Bacterial small subunit ribosomal RNA", at positions 28 to 1378 of the family's 1533-position model. The record is from RNAcentral.